UUACGGGAGGCAGCAGUGGGGAAUUGUUCGCAAUGGGCGCAAGCCUGACGACGCAACGCCGCGUGGAGGAUGAAGGUCUUCGGAUUGUAAACUCCUGUCGACCGGGACGAAUGGCCCGCGACCUAAUACGUCGUGGGAGUGACGGUACCGGUGGAGGAAGCCCCGGCUAACUCUGUGCCAGCAGCCGCGGUAAUACAGAGGGGGCAAGCGUUGUUCGGAAUUACUGGGCGUAAAGGGCGCGUAGGCGGCCUGCUAAGUCGAACGUGAAAUCCCCGGGCUCAACCCGGGAACUGCGUCCGAUACUGGCAGGCUUGAAUCCGGGAGAGGGAUGUGGAAUUCCAGGUGUAGCGGUGAAAUGCGUAGAUAUCUGGAGGAACACCGGUGGCGAAGGCGGCAUCCUGGACCGGCAUUGACGCUGAGGCGCGAAAGCCAGGGGAGCAAACGGGAUUAGAUACCCCGGUAGG
Molecule: ribosomal RNA, 464 nt
Filed under: uncultured bacterium
Lineage: Bacteria
Description: bacterial SSU rRNA
Rfam family: Bacterial small subunit ribosomal RNA
Source: RNAcentral